GCCGGUGAGAGGAGGGACAUGCAGCUUCUACUGCCUGUGGCUUCGUGGAAGCUCUGCUGAGUUAUCUGUGGCUUCCACUCUGCCGGGUUAUCUGUGGCCAAUGUCUACCUACCUGGCAGGGCGAGGCCUAUCCUCUUUUGACCCCCUUGGUCAGUACGUGCCCAGGAACCAUGUUCAAUAUCAUCUUGGAUCAAGUGCACUCAGGAUGAUAAAUGUGCUGUGAAACCACCUCCACAGCCUGAAUGUCCACAGUCAGACUGGAAAACCUUGGUGAUAGCUCUGGUGUGAGCCUGCCCUUGCUGCUGGGCCCUGCGUGAGUGCGGAGGCCAUGGCAGAGUACAGGGAGGCCAUAAGCCCCACAUCACUUUCCUUUAAUCUUUUUGCAGGGGGGAGUCUCGCCUUCUUCCUCGGUGAGUAUGGGGGCCUGAUCUUCAUCUGGCUGGAGAGAGAAGGGGCCUGAGGCCAGAGGGUGUGGAAGGGACCCUGUGGUGGCCACUCAGGCUUUCUCUUUUUCUGGCAGGCUUCCCGGGUGCAACCUAGCCUGCUGCAGUGGGUGAAGUUUUGGUAGGCAAUUUCUUCCAACCACCACCAAGGCCCCGAAAAGCACUGGUCAUCAGGGAGCUCCUCCCCUUGGCCCCCAGCCUGUGCCAGCCCUGGCCCGGCUGCCAUACCUCUGUUUCCUAGGCUGGGGACCCAGCUUGUCUCUCCUUGUUUCUUCCCACUGCACUGGGGUGCUUCAGUGACCACCAGCCUCAUCGGAUACACCAGC
RNAcentral lists this small RNA (769 nucleotides) under Pongo abelii (Sumatran orangutan). Its description in RNAcentral is "retained intron". The record is from RNAcentral. Lineage: Eukaryota; Metazoa; Chordata; Mammalia; Primates; Hominidae.